Molecule: ribosomal RNA, 439 nt
Filed under: uncultured bacterium
Lineage: Bacteria
Description: partial 16S ribosomal RNA
Rfam family: Bacterial small subunit ribosomal RNA
Source: RNAcentral
CCUACGGGAGGCAGCAGUGGGGAAUAUUGCACAAUGGGCGAAAGCCUGAUGCAGCAACGCCGCGUGAGCGAUGAAGGCCUUCGGGUCGUAAAGCUCUGUCCUCAAGGAAGAUAAUGACGGUACUUGAGGAGGAAGCCCCGGCUAACUACGUGCCAGCAGCCGCGGUAAUACGUAGGGGGCUAGCGUUAUCCGGAAUUACUGGGCGGAAAGGGUGCGUAGGUGGUUUCUUAAGUCAGAGGUGAAAGGCUACGGCUCAACCGUAGUAAGCCUUUGAAACUGGGGAACUUGAGUGCAGGAGAGGAGAGUGGAAUUCCUAGUGGAGCGGUGAAAGGCGUAGAUAUUAGGAGGAACACCAGUUGCGAAGGCGGCUCUCUGGACUGUAACUGACACUGAGGCACGAAAGCGUGGGGAGCAAACAGGAUUAGAUACCCUUGUAGUC